This 432-nucleotide ribosomal RNA is filed under the name uncultured bacterium. RNAcentral's name for it is "partial 16S ribosomal RNA". It matches the Rfam family "Bacterial small subunit ribosomal RNA", at positions 29 to 507 of the family's 1533-position model. The record is from RNAcentral.
AACGAACGCUGGCGGCAUGCCUAACACAUGCAAGUCGAACGAGACCUUCGGGUCUAGUGGCGCACGGCUGCGUAACGCGUGGUAACCUGCCCUUAGGUUCGGAAUAACUCCCGAAAGGGGUGCUAAUACCGGCUAAUGUCUUCGCACCAAAGAUUUAUCGCCUUUGGAUGGGCGCGCGUUGGAUUAGCUAGUUGGUAGGGUAAAAGCCUACCAAGGCGACGAUCCAUGGCUGGUCUGAGUGGAUGAUCAUCCACACUGGGACUGAGACACGGCCCAGACUCCGACGCGAGGCAGCAGUGGGGAAUAUUGGGCACUGGGCGAUAGCCUGAUCAAGCAAUGCCGCGUGAGUGAUGAAGGCCGUAGGGUUGUAAAGCUCUUUUACCCGGGAUGAUAAUGACAGUAACGGGAGAAUAAGCACCGGCUAACUCCGUG